ACCAGCUUUUUAAGUCCUCUCUGUUCUGGUUCUCAAGUACAGUAUUCAUAACUCAUCACACUUACAUAUGAACCAAAGCUUCAUGAUUCAGGACCUGCAUUUCUUUGAGAAAAAAAUGGCUAACAUAUUCACAAGCACAUAAAAGCUAAAUUAAUAAACAUAGCUAAAAUGGAUCGACAUUCCGAAUUAAUAAUCCUUUUCUGAACAA
Molecule: unclassified non-coding RNA, 208 nt
Filed under: Hevea brasiliensis (rubber tree)
Lineage: Eukaryota; Viridiplantae; Streptophyta; Magnoliopsida; Malpighiales; Euphorbiaceae
Source: RNAcentral